AGCAGCCGCCACGGUAACACCGAGGGUGCAAGCGUUAAUCGGAUUUACUGGGCGUAAAGCGUGCGUAGGCGGCUUUUUAAGUCGGAUGUGAAAUCCCUGAGCUUAACUUAGGAAUUGCAUUCGAUACUGGGAAGCUAGAGUAUGGGAGAGGAUGGUAGAAUUCCAGGUGUAGCGGUGAAAUGCGUAGAGAUCUGGAGGAAUACCGAUGGCGAAGGCAGCCAUCUGGCCUAAUACUGACGCUGAGGUACGAAAGCUAGGGGAGCAAACAGGAUUAGACCCCCGUAGUCCCUGUCUCUUAUACAC
Molecule: ribosomal RNA, 303 nt
Filed under: uncultured bacterium
Lineage: Bacteria
Description: partial 16S ribosomal RNA
Rfam family: Bacterial small subunit ribosomal RNA
Source: RNAcentral